UACGUAGGGGGCGAGCGUUAUCCGGAUUUAUUGGGCGUAAAGCGUGUGUAGGCGGCUUGUUAAGUUUAAGAUAAAAGCCCGGGGCUCAACUCCGGUUCGUCUUAAAAACUGGCAGGCUUGAGUGUGGUAGAGGUAAACGGAAUUUCUAGUGUAGCGGUGAAAUGCGUAGAUAUUAGAAGGAACACCAGUGGCGAAGGCGGUUUACUGGGCCAUAACUGACGCUGAGGCACGAAAGCGUGGGUAGCAAAUAG
This 251-nucleotide ribosomal RNA is filed under the name uncultured bacterium. Its description in RNAcentral is "partial 16S ribosomal RNA". It matches the Rfam family "Bacterial small subunit ribosomal RNA", at positions 524 to 775 of the family's 1533-position model. The record is from RNAcentral.